RNAcentral lists this ribosomal RNA (465 nucleotides) under uncultured bacterium. Its description in RNAcentral is "partial 16S ribosomal RNA". It matches the Rfam family "Bacterial small subunit ribosomal RNA", at positions 28 to 507 of the family's 1533-position model. The record is from RNAcentral.
GACGAACGCUGGCGGCGUGCUUAACACAUGCAAGUCGUACGGUAAGGCCCUUUCGGGGGUACACGAGUGGCGAACGGGUGAGUAACACGUGAGUAACCUGCCCACAACUUUGGGAUAACGCUAGGAAACUGGUGCUAAUACUGGAUAUGUGCUCCUGCUGCAUGGUGGGGGUUGGAAAGCUCCGGCGGUUGUGGAUGGACUCGCGGCCUAUCAGCUUGUUGGUGGGGUAGUGGCCUACCAAGGCGGCGACGGGUAGCCGGCCUGUGAGGGUGACCGGCCACAUUGGGACUGAGAGACGGCCCAGACUCCUACGGGAGGCAGCAGUGGGGAAGAUUGCACAAUGGGCGCCAGCCUGAUGCAGCAACGCCGCGUGCGGGAUGACGGCCUUCGGGUUGUAAACCGCUUUCAGCAGGGACGAAGCUUUUUGUGACGGUACCUGCAGAAGAAGCACCGGCUAACUACGUG